CAAGCGCCAUAUGAGGCGAGGUCCCGAGCAUAGGAUGCCGCUUGCCUGCCGCUGGCCGCCAAUUCGGUCGCUGCGGCCUCUUGAUAUCACGCACAGCAACGGCCCUCUCUCUGCCUCGCGCUGCAGCUAGCUGGCCUUCAUUGUCGCGCCCACCUCCCUCUCCCCUCUUCUCUCCUCCAGCGCGCCACGCACGCUCGCGGAGCAAAGCAAGGGAUGGCGCCGACGUACCGGCCUUACGCGGCGGAGUACGGGGCGGUGGAGCGGAAGGUGCCGGGGGCGCGGUGGGUGGCGUCGGCGGCGGCGGCGUCGUCGGUGGCGUGGUUCGCGGGGGACCAGGCGGAGAUGAAGCGGCGGGGGCGGGUGGCCAGCUACAAGGCCUACGCCGUGGAGGGCAAGGUGAAGGCGUCCCUCCGCCGGGGCCUCCGCUGGAUCAAGGCCAAGUGCUCCCACAUCGUCCACCGCUAGUCCGCUCCGCCCGCCGUCUUCUUCUUCCUUGGUGGCUCAUCAGGCGGACGACCGAUCGAUGGUGGCGAGAACGGAUGCGCGAGGGAUGCAGCCGAGGGACGGACUCAUCGAGCGUUCCUUGCGAGUAGAUUAGUCACUAGUGUAAGAUCAUCAUGCAUGGGUCCUUUCUUCUUCUUUUUCUAGUUUUCCUGUUGUCGAGAGAGAGAGAGAGGAGGGGGGAGAAUGUUUGUUUCCGGGGUUGCAAGCAACGUUGGCCAUCAAUCAUCACACGCGAUUCCUUUCUUUCUGCUUCAGUUUCAGAUAGUCUGCUCGUGAGAUUCCUUUCUGCUUCAGUUCAGUUUGCUUCUGCAAAACAUACCUGGUUGUUGUGUCCGCUUGAUACUCUCAGGCUCAAAAGUGCUUGCAAAACAAAUUAUCCCCUGCAAGGGAAAUGAAUUGGCGCACGAAU
This 913-nucleotide ribosomal RNA is filed under the name Triticum aestivum (bread wheat). RNAcentral describes it as "partial small subunit ribosomal RNA". Lineage: Eukaryota; Viridiplantae; Streptophyta; Magnoliopsida; Poales; Poaceae. The record is from RNAcentral.